This 528-nucleotide non-coding RNA is filed under the name Pseudomonas luteola. The record is from RNAcentral. Lineage: Bacteria; Pseudomonadati; Pseudomonadota; Gammaproteobacteria; Pseudomonadales; Pseudomonadaceae.
GAUUUUAGCGUGAAUGCGCGCAACCUUCUGGCGAGCCUUGGCGCGAUUGGCAGAACCGAGCUUUUUACGGCUCAGGCGGCGCUGUGCCAGUGCAAGCCUUGCAGCAUACCGGCCUGUAUGACGGGCAUUGGCAAUACGCUCACCCUCGGACGUGACAAACAGGUCCUUAAGACCCAUGUCGAUGCCGACCAUUUUCGGCGUAACGGGCAGGGCUUGAGGUUCAAACUCGCACAGGCACGACACGAAGUAGCGGCCCGCUGCAUCCCUGGAAAUUGUCACAGUGGACGGUGCGGACGGCAGGUCACGACUCCAACGAACAUUAAGCGGCAUCUUGCUUUUGGCAAGGUACAACUUUCCGUCCUGAUACUUAAAGGCCGAGGCCGUGAACUCAGCCGAUUGGUGGUUUCGCUUUUUCUUGAAGGCUGGGUAUUUAGCGCGACCUUCAAAGAAGUUCUUGAACGCGGCCUGCUGGUGGCGCAAGCACUGCUGCAAGGGUACGCAAGAAACCUCAUUCAGAAACGCCAGUUC